Long non-coding RNA from Brassica rapa (field mustard), 2028 nucleotides. RefSeq lists it as uncharacterized. Lineage: Eukaryota; Viridiplantae; Streptophyta; Magnoliopsida; Brassicales; Brassicaceae. The record is from RefSeq and is a predicted model, not a curated record.
AAUAUUAUUAAAAUAUUUUUAAUAAUAAAAAAUAUAAAGAUAAUUCUAUUAUAAAUAAAAUAAUGAUACAGUGAUUUGUUUGUAUUUAUAUAAAAUGUAUAUAUAUAUAUAAAUAAAUUAUUAAUUUAUGAUUUUAAUGAGAUCAUAUAUUACAUAAGUUUUUCUAAAAUAUUAUUAUCUUAUUAUUGAUUUGUGUCAUAUUUUGGAUUAUCCCAAUUUGAAACCAAAGAAAUUUAGUAAUUUACUGUAUUUAUUAAUUUAAUGAAUAUCAAUUUAUAGAGUUUCUAUUUAUAUUAUGACUAUCGAAUUUUGUAUUAUAGCCACAUGUGAUUUGCUAGAGGGUCCAUUUCAUAGGUUUUUUUCUACAUUACCAUAAAAAGUAAAAAAUACAUCUUCCAAACAUAACUUUCUUAAAGCUGAAUAUUAUGACCAGGUAAACCCAAUUUAAAUAAGAAAAUUGGGCUUAUUGACCCAAAAAACACAAAUUUGAUAUUCAAAAAAAACUAAAAAAACAGAAAUUCACUAACUACCCAAAACCGCAUGUUCUCUCCUAUUUUCUCCUCCUAUCUCUCUCUACACUCUCUCUAUAAAUCUAAUUUCAAUUUUUUUUUUGUUAUUUGGCAAAUAAGCCCAUUUAAAUAUGCAUAAAAAUCCACCUUUAGUACACUUACAAAAAAAAAUUGUAAUAACCACUUCACCUUUCUAAAACUCAAAAAGUUCUGCAAGGUAAAAAAAUAUCAAUAAAGCUUUCACAAAAUUAACAUGGCAGUGGUGUGUUUUUAUGCUAACUCUUGGUUGGGAGCAAUCUUUCUUUUCUUAUUCUUUAUUGUAAGACUAUUUUAUUGUAAGACUAUCGUAUGAUAUAUAAUGAUUUUGCUUUUUAGCGGUUUUUAAUUUUCUUUCACAAAGUUGAUUUGUGUUGGAUUUCUCUGUAUCUGGAAACCACGCGUCUGUGGUCGGAUGGUCAAGGCGUUCCGUGGAUUUCUAAAAGGAUCCGAGUUCGAAUCUGCACUACACCAGAUUUCCACACGCGUGGCCACCGGAGCUUUCACAUUCUCUCUCCGGAAAAUGGUUUACCAUUUUUUUUUCUCUGUAUGUGGAAGAUAUCAUUCACCAUUCUACAACUCAUUUAUUAUGAUAUGCAAACCGAACAUUAAAAAAAAGAGCCAACAACAUUUAUCAUUGUUCCAUUAAAGAGGAGGAGAGUGGAUUCAAUGUCGCAUAUAGCUGUUAUCACAAGGCGGUUUCCAUGCUUACCUGACAUGAUUUUGUAAAAUUCUCUUUUUCGGCCGUUGUUUGAGGUCAUUUUUUUCUUGUCUGAAACAUAAUUCACAUUCCCAAAAAGCUUCUAUUUUUUUCUCUUAGGUCAAACACAAAAGCUAGAGAAAAACAGCUAAUCUUGUUCUCUCUUUGCAACGACGGCUAAUCAAGGAAGCUCAAGGACCCGAUAGCUUACGCAAAGAUAUGUCGCGACUUUAAUGUGUUUUUGUACAGAAAGGGACCUCCUUUCACCUUCAUGCCUUACAUUCUUCAUCAACACAACGAGGUAUUAGGUUGAUUUGGAGCAUAAGAUGUCGAAUUGGGUGUAAAUGAGCAAAUAAAGAUGCAGAACUAUGCAGAUGCAUAAAAAAGUUUAGAUUUGGAUAUGGGUGACAUUCCAUAGUACCAAUGAGCUCAACUUUUGAUACAAAAUAAGAGCUUGAGUCAGCUUUCCAAAGCCGCCGGUUUGAGAUCGAUUCAUCAAAAUUUCUGUGUGUAUUAUUGAAGACUGCUCUGUCUGCCGCUUCAAUACUAGAAAAAAGGGAAAUUUCUGUUUUCUUAUUUUGGUUUGGUUAACCCAAAUUUCGACCAGCACGAAAAUAAAAUUUAUAUUUGCUAUUUUCAUCCAUUUUUUAAGCAAAUGCUUUUUCUACUCUUGUUAUACUUUUGCUUUGGAGAUUUGUAAGCUUUGGGGAGACAUUCUAUACUCUUUAUAGAGAAGAUUUCUGAACCCCCUUAUUGAUUUUAUUGCCAUGAUUUUCCCAGCGA